Molecule: unclassified non-coding RNA, 243 nt
Filed under: fungal sp.
Lineage: Eukaryota; Fungi
Description: partial contains 5.8S ribosomal RNA, internal transcribed spacer 2, and large subunit ribosomal RNA
Source: RNAcentral
CGCACAUUGCGCCCGCCAGUAUUCUGGCGGGCAUGCCUGUUCGAGCGUCAUUUCAACCCUCAAGCUCAGCUUGGUGUUGGGACUCGCGGUAACCCGCGUUCCCCAAAUCGAUUGGCGGUCACGUCGAGCUUCCAUAGCGUAGUAAUCAUACACCUCGUUACUGGUAAUCGUCGCGGCCACGCCGUAAAACCCCAACUUCUGAAUGUUGACCUCGGAUCAGGUAGGAAUACCCGCUGAACUUAA